RNAcentral lists this transfer RNA (90 nucleotides) under Acidobacteriota bacterium. RNAcentral's name for it is "tRNA-Ser". It matches the Rfam family "tRNA". From Rfam's summary of the family: Transfer RNA (tRNA) molecules are approximately 80 nucleotides in length. Their secondary structure includes four short double-helical elements and three loops (D, anti-codon, and T loops). The record is from RNAcentral. Lineage: Bacteria; Pseudomonadati; Acidobacteriota. RNAcentral also lists the same sequence under 2 other names.
GGUGAGGUGCGAGAGUGGUUGAAUCGGGCGGUCUCGAAAACCGUUGUACCCGUAAGGGUACCGUGGGUUCGAAUCCCACCCUCACCGCCA